CGCUCAUCCAGAGGGGCAGAGGGAAACGGCCCGAUGAAGCCCCGGCAACCCUCCAGUCGGUCUCGCACGCGCACGUGCCCGCGAGGUCCCCGGCUAGGGAAGGUGCCAAAUCCGUCUCACGGCGAAAGACGCCAGUGAGAAAGAUGAGGA
Molecule: non-coding RNA, 150 nt
Filed under: Streptomyces kanasensis
Lineage: Bacteria; Bacillati; Actinomycetota; Actinomycetes; Kitasatosporales; Streptomycetaceae
Description: SAM-I sequence
Rfam family: SAM riboswitch aptamer (S box leader)
About the family: The SAM riboswitch is found upstream of a number of genes which code for proteins involved in methionine or cysteine biosynthesis in Gram-positive bacteria. The SAM riboswitch acts at the level of transcription termination control. The predicted structure consists of a complex stem-loop region followed by a single stem loop terminator region.
Source: Rfam by way of RNAcentral